GCUGAUGUAGCUCAGUCGGUAGAGCACUCCCUUGGUAAGGGAGAGGUCAUCGGUUCAAUCCCGAUCAUCAGCUCCA
Molecule: transfer RNA, 76 nt
Filed under: Acidobacteriota bacterium
Lineage: Bacteria; Pseudomonadati; Acidobacteriota
Also listed under: 3 other names
Description: Acidobacteria bacterium tRNA-Thr
Rfam family: tRNA
About the family: Transfer RNA (tRNA) molecules are approximately 80 nucleotides in length. Their secondary structure includes four short double-helical elements and three loops (D, anti-codon, and T loops).
Source: RNAcentral